UUAGGAAUCUUCCACAAUGGGCGAAAGCCUGAUGGAGCGACGCCGCGUGAGGGAUGAAGGCCUUAGGGUUGUAAACCUCUAAAAGAGGGACGAUAAUGACGGUACCUCUUGAAUAGCACCGGCUAACUCCGUGCCAGCAGCCGCGGUAAUACGGAGGGUGCAAGCGUUAUCCGGAAUCACUGGGCGUAAAGGGCGCGUAGGCGGUCUGUUAAGUCCGAUGUUAAAUCCCGGGGCUCAACCCCGGAUAAGCGUUGGAUACUGGCAGGCUAGACGGUUGGAGAGGCGAGUGGAAUUACCAGUGUAGCGGUGGAAUGCGUAGAUACUGGGAGGAACACCAAUUGCGAAGGCAGCUCGCUGGACAACACGUGACGCUGAGGCGCGAAAGUGUGGGGAGCAAA
This 398-nucleotide ribosomal RNA is filed under the name uncultured bacterium. RNAcentral's name for it is "bacterial SSU rRNA". It matches the Rfam family "Bacterial small subunit ribosomal RNA", at positions 355 to 772 of the family's 1533-position model. The record is from RNAcentral.